This 392-nucleotide ribosomal RNA is filed under the name uncultured soil bacterium. Its description in RNAcentral is "bacterial SSU rRNA". It matches the Rfam family "Bacterial small subunit ribosomal RNA", at positions 26 to 434 of the family's 1533-position model. The record is from RNAcentral.
AGAACGAACGCUGGCGGCAUGCCUAAUACAUGCAAGUCGAACGAAGGCUUCGGCCUUAGUGGCGCACGGGUGCGUAACGCGUGGGAAUCUGCCCCUUGGUUCGGAAUAACAGUUGGAAACGACUGCUAAUACCGGAUGAUGACGAAAGUCCAAAGAUUUAUCGCCAAGGGAUGAGCCCGCGUAGGAUUAGCUAGUUGGUGAGGUGAAGGCUCACCAAGGCGACGAUCCUUAGCUGGUCUGAGAGGAUGAUCAGCCACACUGGGACUGAGACGACGGCCCAGACUCCGUACGGGAGGCAGCGAGUAGGGAAUAUUGGACAAGUGGGACGAAAGCCUAGACUACCAGCAGUCGGCCGCGUGAGUGGAUGAAGGUCCGUUAGGUUAGAAGUCUUC